CUUGUGCGGCAAGCUACACAUGCAGUCGAGCGGCAGCGGGAAAGUAGCUUGCUACUUUUGCCGGCGAGCGGCGGACGGGUGAGUAAUGCUUGGGGAUCUGCCCGGUCGAGGGGGAUAACCGUUGGAAACGACGGCUAAUACCGCAUACGCCCUACGGGGGAAAGCAGGGGACCUUCGGGCCUUGCGCGAUUGGAUGAACCCAAGUGAGAUUAGCUAGUUGGUGAGGUAACGGCUCACCAAGGCGACGAUCUCUAGCUGGUCUGAGAGGAUGACCAGUCACACUGGGACUGAGACACGGCCCAGACUCCUACGGGAGGCAGCAGUGGGGAAUAUUGCACAAUGGGGGAAACCCUGAUGCAGCCAUGCCGCGUGUGUGAAGAAGGCCUUCGGGUUGUAAAGCACUUUCAGUGGUGAGGAAAGGAGGUUGGCUAAUACCUGGCCUCUGUGACGUUAACCACAGAAGAAGCACCGGCUAACUCCGUGCCAGAGGGCGGGGGGUGUUUAUAA
This 507-nucleotide ribosomal RNA is filed under the name Oceanimonas doudoroffii. RNAcentral describes it as "bacterial SSU rRNA". It matches the Rfam family "Bacterial small subunit ribosomal RNA", at positions 39 to 536 of the family's 1533-position model. Lineage: Bacteria; Pseudomonadati; Pseudomonadota; Gammaproteobacteria; Aeromonadales; Aeromonadaceae. The record is from RNAcentral.